This 1198-nucleotide long non-coding RNA is filed under the name Androctonus crassicauda. The record is from RNAcentral. Lineage: Eukaryota; Metazoa; Arthropoda; Arachnida; Scorpiones; Buthidae.
GAAAAAGUACUCUAAUACACACUAUUAUAUUUAAAUUAAAAAUCUUAUCUUUUAUCAGUCAACUGAUUAAAUUUCAACAUUUACAGUAAUAAAUUUAAUUCCUGUUCAAAUAAAUAAGGAAAAGAGAAUCCAAUGAUUGCAGUAAUGACAAUAUAAGGACUCUGCAUUGGCUAGACCAAGAGUUAUCUAUAUAUUAUUAAAAUAACAUCAGGUUCUGAUACCAGUAGUAGUUUUUUUAUAGUGAUAUUCCAGCACUAAUGAAAUGUCAUGAUUCAAGAUAUGGACAGAUUUUACAAUCUGUGAUAGAUGGACAGGUGGUGCUGAGAUCCAGGAUAGGAGAAUCGAAUCAAGGACUUGAAUAGCAAACAAAAAUUAGUUAGUUUGUUUUUUUUAAAUACAAAUACAAUUAAAAUUAUCCACUGUGGCUAGAGGUUGGAAUUCACUCAGUUUCACUUGUGUAUUGUAAGAUGCAACUAAAGGAUGACUUCUUUUCUACUAGCAGCCUGCCACGCUUCUGAUGGUAUCCUUUUCCCUCUUUCCUCAUGCUUUUCUAUAUUCUUUAGACUUCUUCCUUCAGUAUUCAAAGGGUAAAACCUUUGAGUAUACCUGCUAUCUAUUUAUUUAAAAAAUAUAUUAAAUAAAAAAUUGAAAUUAUUAACUAAAUAUUUAAAUCUAAACCAUCAGACUACUUGCCAUUGCCAUUGCAACUUGCCAUCAAACUAUAAAUAAAAUAAGAAUGAGAUCAACAAUUUAAUGAGACUUUACAGAUUUUCUUGAACAGAAUAUGCAUGUUCAGAGAGUCAGGAUGUUUUCCAGGCUUGAACUAUUCAAGUCUGGUGACCAUACCUGAGAGAGAAAAAGGCACAUUUAUUUUUCUUUAUAUUAUCUUUUGCAUUCUUUUUCUCAUAAAUCCUUUAAUAUUAAAAUCAUCUUUAAAUAUGAAAUUAUUGUUUCUAAUGAUGUCUGUUUCCUUCUUGUCUAUAUUGUAUCCCAUAGGUUCUUAAACUGUGGUCUGCGGACCCCUAGGGUCCGCGUAGCCAUUACUGAGGGUCUGCAAAAUUAUAAAAAAUAGUUGCAAACAGUUCAAGAAGAUGAUGAAAAGGCAAGAAGCGCAGAGCGAUAAAAAAAAUAUAUUUUUAAGGCAAUAAAUAAAACAUGAACCUAUUACUAUUGUUCCGUGAUUUUUAUAAUUUUUGUG